GGAACUCCAUCAUCAGAUUCUU
RNAcentral lists this non-coding RNA (22 nucleotides) under Arabidopsis thaliana (thale cress). The record is from RNAcentral. Lineage: Eukaryota; Viridiplantae; Streptophyta; Magnoliopsida; Brassicales; Brassicaceae.